Molecule: ribosomal RNA, 446 nt
Filed under: uncultured bacterium
Lineage: Bacteria
Description: partial 16S ribosomal RNA
Rfam family: Bacterial small subunit ribosomal RNA
Source: RNAcentral
CCUACGGGAGGCAGCAGUCGAGAAUCAUUCACAAUGGGGGAAACCCUGAUGGUGCGACGCCGCGUGCGGGAAUGAAGUUCUUCGGAUUGUAAACCCCUGUCAUGUGGGAGCAAAUUAAAAAUAUAGUACCACAAAUGGAAGAGACGACUAACUCUGUGCCAGCAGCCGCGGUAAUACAGAGGUCUCAAGCGUUGUUCGGAAUCACUGGGCGUAAAGCGUGCGUAGGCUGUUUCGUAAGUCGGGUGUGAAAGGCGGGGGCUCAACCCGCGAAUGGCACAUGAUACUGCGAGACUAGAGUAAUGGAGGGGGAACCGGAAUUCUUGGUGUAGCAGUGAAAUGCGUAGAUAUCGAGAGGAACACUCGUGGCGAAGGCGGGUGCCUGGACAUUAACUGACGCUGAGGCACGAAGGCGAGGGGAGCGAAAGGGAUUAGAUACCCUGGUAGUC